RNAcentral lists this long non-coding RNA (248 nucleotides) under Lathyrus oleraceus (garden pea). Its description in RNAcentral is "Pisum sativum (pea) long non-coding RNA (PSAT_LNC016403)". Lineage: Eukaryota; Viridiplantae; Streptophyta; Magnoliopsida; Fabales; Fabaceae. The record is from RNAcentral.
AAAGUCUCAGGGCUAAAAGAAACAAUGUGCAUGCGUGUGUGUAAUCAUGCAAUGGAUAUCAGAAAAAAGCAAACGCAAGUUCUAGAUGAUAAAAACGUACAUAAAUGUUCUUUCUUAUGAUGAAUAUUGUAAUUCGCUUUUUUUAUCCUCACUAUGUUGGUAAGAGCUAACAUUAUCCAUAAUACCUUUUGUGCGAUUCAUCUUCGCACUCAGUUACAAUAAGUUUGCACCCCUUCCAGUAGAACUCC